AUGGCUCGCACGGUGGUGCGACAAACGGCGGCCUUAGUGGGCUCAACAGGAGGUUCCCGAUCCAGCUCGGGCCGCUGCUACCUCUUCCUCGCCGCCCAACAGGUCGCCGUGCUGUGGGAGCAGGGUAGCAUCGGGUCCACAGGCUGGGGUGGAGGCCUUCCCAACUCGGACUGCGCGUCCUCCUCUUCGCCGCAUCAUCGCCCUGGCCAGCUGAGCACCAACCCGACGGCGAUGACAUCCGAUGCCAACACACCGAGGUUAUACUCCAAUCAAACAUGUGAAUAUUUACCAGAGUGCUUCAAGAUCUAUCCAAUGAUCCACUGCCGCUCUGCUGUUGGGACUAAUUUGGACGGGAAUGGUGAUUUCAUGGUUGAUUAUGGUUACUUGGUUCUUGCUCUUGGAGUUACUGUGAAUACAUUCAACACUCCUGGUGUGAUGGAGCAUUGCCGCUUUCUGAAGGUAGUGGAGGAUGCCCAAAAGAUUCAGAAGAGCGUGAUAGACUGCUUUGAAAAGGGUCACUUCCUAACCUCGGUGAAGAGGAGAAAAGGAAGAUCCUUCACUUUGUGA
RNAcentral lists this ribosomal RNA (567 nucleotides) under Triticum aestivum (bread wheat). RNAcentral's name for it is "partial small subunit ribosomal RNA". Lineage: Eukaryota; Viridiplantae; Streptophyta; Magnoliopsida; Poales; Poaceae. The record is from RNAcentral.